This 283-nucleotide ribosomal RNA is filed under the name uncultured bacterium. RNAcentral's name for it is "partial 16S ribosomal RNA". It matches the Rfam family "Bacterial small subunit ribosomal RNA", at positions 333 to 633 of the family's 1533-position model. The record is from RNAcentral.
UUAUUCCUACGGGACGCAGCAGUCGGGAAUAUUGCACAAUGGGGGAAACCCUGAUGCAGCGACGCCGCGUGAGUGAAGAAGUAUUUCGGUAUGUAAAGCUCUAUCAGCAGGGAAGAAAAUGACGGUACCUGACUAAGAAGCCCCGGCUAACUACGUGCCAGCAGCCGCGGUAAUACGUAGGGGGCAAGCGUUAUCCGGAUUUACUGGGUGUAAAGGGAGCGUAGGCGGCAAGGUAAGCCAGAAGUGAAAGCCCGCGGCUCAACUGCGAGACUGCUUUUGUAAC